GCUGGGCAUGGUGGCUCAUGCCUGUAAUCCCAGCACUUUAGGAGGCUGAGGCAGGUGGAUCACCUGAGGUCAGGAGUUCGAGACCAGCCUGGCCAACAUGGUGAAACCCCGUCUCUA
Pongo abelii (Sumatran orangutan) is the source of this 117-nucleotide unclassified non-coding RNA. It matches the Rfam family "Metazoan signal recognition particle RNA". Rfam says of the family: The signal recognition particle (SRP) is a universally conserved ribonucleoprotein. It is involved in the co-translational targeting of proteins to membranes. The eukaryotic SRP consists of a 300-nucleotide 7S RNA and six proteins: SRPs 72, 68, 54, 19, 14, and 9. NCBI's taxonomy places the organism in Eukaryota, Metazoa, Chordata, Mammalia, Primates, Hominidae. The record is from Ensembl.